CUUAGCUUGCUAAGGCCGAUGGCGACCGGCGCACGGGUGAGUAACACGUAUCCCACCUGCCGUCUACUCUUGGACAGCCUUCUGAAAGGAAGAUUAAUACAAGAUGGCAUCAUGAGUCCGCAUGUUCACAUGAUUAAAGGUAUUCCGGUAGACGAUGGGGAUGCGUUCCAUUAGAUAGUAGGCGGGGUAACGGCCCACCUAGUCUUCGAUGGAUAGGGGUUCUGAGAGGAAGGUCCCCCACAUUGGAACUGAGACACGGUCCAAACUCCUACGGGAGGCAGCAGUGAGGAAUAUUGGUCAAUGGGCGCAGGCCUGAACCAGCCAAGUAGCGUGAAGGAUGACUGCCCUAUGGGUUGUAAACUUCUUUUAUAAAGGAAUAAAGUCGGGUAUGGAUACCCGUUUGCAUGUACUUUAUGAAUAAGGAUCGGCUAACUCCGUGCCAGCAGCCGCGGUAAUACGGAGGAUCCGAGCGUUAUCCGGAUUUAUUGGGUUUAAAGGGAGCGUAGAUGGAUGUUUAAGUCAGUUGUGAAAGUUUGCGGCUCAACCGUAAAAUUGCAGUUGAUACUGGAUAUCUUGAGUGCAGUUGAGGCAGGCGGAAUUCGUGGUGUAGCGGUGAAAUGCUUAGAUAUCACGAAGAACUCCGAUUG
RNAcentral lists this ribosomal RNA (647 nucleotides) under uncultured Bacteroides sp. RNAcentral describes it as "bacterial SSU rRNA". It matches the Rfam family "Bacterial small subunit ribosomal RNA", at positions 71 to 715 of the family's 1533-position model. Lineage: Bacteria; Pseudomonadati; Bacteroidota; Bacteroidia; Bacteroidales; Bacteroidaceae. The record is from RNAcentral.